UACGGAGGGUGCAAGCGUUAUCCGGAUUCACUGGGCUUAAAGGGUGCGUAGGUGGUUUUGUAAGUCAGUGGUGAAAGCCCGGAGCUCAACUCCGGAACUGCCAUUGAUACUGCUUAACUUGAAUCAAGUAGAGGUGGAUGGAAUAAUACAUGUAGCGGUGAAAUGCUUAGAUAUGUAGUAGAACACCGAUUGCGAAGGCAGUUCACUAUGCUUGUAUUGACACUGAGGCACGAAAGCGUGGGGAUCAAACAGG
This 253-nucleotide ribosomal RNA is filed under the name uncultured bacterium. Its description in RNAcentral is "partial 16S ribosomal RNA". It matches the Rfam family "Bacterial small subunit ribosomal RNA", at positions 524 to 776 of the family's 1533-position model. The record is from RNAcentral.